UUGGAGGGCAAGUCUGGUGCCCGCAGCCGCGGUAAUUCCAGCUCCAAUAGCGUAUAUUAAAGUUGUUGCAGUUAAAAAGCUCGUAGUUGAACCUUGGAUCUGGCUGGCCGGUCCGCCUCACCGCGAGUACUGGUCCGGCUGGACCUUUCCUUCUGGGGAACCUCAUGGCCUUCACUGGCUGUGGGAGGAACCAGGACUUUUACUGUGAAAAAAUUAGAGUGUUCAAAGCAGGCCUUUGCUCGAAUACAUUAGCAUGGAAUAAUAGAAUAGGGCGUGUGGUUCUAUUUUGUUGGUUUCUAGGACCGCCGUAAUGAUUAAUAGGGAUAGUCGGGGGCGUCAGUAUUCAGCUGUCAGAGGUGAAAUUCUUGGAUUUGCUGAAGACUAACUACUGCGAAAGCAUUCGCCAAGGAUGUUUUCAUUAAUCAGGGAACGAAAGUUAGGGGAUCGAAGACGAUCAGAUACCGUCGUAGUCUUAACCAUAAACUAUGCCGACUAGGGAUCGGACGGGAUUCUAUAAUGACCCGUUCGGCGCCUUACGGGAAAC
Molecule: ribosomal RNA, 544 nt
Filed under: uncultured Eurotiomycetes
Lineage: Eukaryota; Fungi; Ascomycota; Eurotiomycetes
Description: SSU rRNA
Rfam family: Eukaryotic small subunit ribosomal RNA
Source: RNAcentral